CUUGGUCAUUUAGAGGAAGUAAAAGUCGUAACAAGGUUUCCGUAGGUGAACCUGCGGAAGGAUCAUUCACAAACGAGUGUUUUAUGGCACUCUUUAAAAAUCCAUAUCCACCUUGUGUGCAAUGUUUGUUGGGAAAGUCUUUUCUUUCCCUUCAUAAAUAUCAACCUAUAUCUUUAACAACAUUCGUCUGAUAACAUAUUAUGAAUAUACUUAAUCCAAAAUAUAACUUUCAACAACGGAUCUCUUGGCUCUCGCAUCGAUGAAGAACGCAGCGAAAUGCGAUACGUAAUGUGAAUUGCAGAAUUCAGUGAAUCAUCGAAUCUUUGAACGCAUAUUGCGCUCUUUGGUAUUCCGAAGAGCAUGCUUGUUUGAGUAUCAGUAAACACCUCAACCUCUCUUUUUGACAAAAAAAGGGAGGGUGGACUUGAGCUAUCCCAACGACCUUCACCGGUAGGCGGGCGGCUUGAAAUGCAGGUGCAGCUGGACUUUUAUCUGAGCUAAAAGCAUAUCUAUUUAGUCCUCGUCAAACAGGAUUAUUACUUUUGCUGCAGCUAACAUAAAGGAUAAUUGUCCUCUUUGCUGACUGAUGCAGGAUUUUACGACACUUUAUGUGUUGUUCAACUCGAUCUCAAAUCAAGUAAGACUACCCGCUGAACUUAAGCAUAUCAAUAAGCGGAGGA
This 680-nucleotide ribosomal RNA is filed under the name uncultured Mortierella. RNAcentral's name for it is "eukaryotic LSU rRNA". The stretch from base 225 to 378 matches the Rfam family "5.8S ribosomal RNA". Lineage: Eukaryota; Fungi; Mortierellomycota; Mortierellomycetes; Mortierellales; Mortierellaceae. The record is from RNAcentral.